Molecule: small nucleolar RNA, 139 nt
Filed under: Homo sapiens (human)
Lineage: Eukaryota; Metazoa; Chordata; Mammalia; Primates; Hominidae
Description: small nucleolar RNA SNORA70BL5
Rfam family: Small nucleolar RNA SNORA70
About the family: snoRNA U70 seems to be exclusive to mammals and is a member of the H/ACA class of snoRNA which contain H (ANANNA) and ACA box motifs.
Source: RNAcentral
AGAUCAGCUUUUCAAAGGUUUACUGCAUUUUACCCUCCCUGAUGGGGCUCAGUGUGCGCAGCUGGAAAAAGUAGAUGCCCUGGUUAUGCAUGCAGCUCAUUUGUUGUACAUGUUGCUUUAAGGGACCUUGAAGACUCUU